AAUCCACACGACUCUCGGCAACGGAUAUCUCGGCUCUCGCAUCGAUGAAGAACGUAGCGAAAUGCGAUACCUGGUGUGAAUUGCAGAAUCCCGCGAACCAUCGAGUCUUUGAACGCAAGUUGCGCCCGAGGUCUUUCGGCUGAGGGCACGCCUGCCUGGGCGUCACGC
RNAcentral lists this ribosomal RNA (168 nucleotides) under Anthoxanthum ovatum. RNAcentral describes it as "5.8S ribosomal RNA". It matches the Rfam family "5.8S ribosomal RNA". From Rfam's summary of the family: 5.8S ribosomal RNA (5.8S rRNA) is a component of the large subunit of the eukaryotic ribosome. The record is from RNAcentral. Lineage: Eukaryota; Viridiplantae; Streptophyta; Magnoliopsida; Poales; Poaceae. RNAcentral also lists the same sequence under 2 other names.